Molecule: ribosomal RNA, 1218 nt
Filed under: uncultured Rhizaria
Lineage: Eukaryota
Description: SSU rRNA
Rfam family: Eukaryotic small subunit ribosomal RNA
Source: RNAcentral
CGGUAAUUCCAGCUCCAAUAGCGUAUACUAAAGUUGUUGCAGUUAAAAAGCUCGUAGUUGGAUUUCUGCGGGGACGGAGCGGCCGGACGCAACUUGCGUCUCGAGCUAGCGCUUUCCCCGCAUCCUGCCGCGAACCGUGCUACCAUUAGUUUGGUGGCGCUGGGGAUCGGCUCGAUUACUUUGAGAAAAAUAGAGUGUUCAAAGCAGGCCACACGCCUUGAAUAAGUUAGCAUGGAAUAAUGACUAAGGACUUCGGCUCUAUUUUGUUGGUGUUCGGGACUGAAGUAAUGAUUGAUAGGGACAGUUGGGGCGGUCUGUAUUCCAAAGCGAGAGGUGAAAUUCUUAGACCUUCGGAAGACAAACAGCUGCGAAAGCAUUCCGCAAGGAUGUUCCCUUUGAUCAAGAACGAAAGUUGGGGGAUCGAAGACGAUCAGAUACCGUCGUAGUCUCAACUAUAAACUAUACCAGCUAGGGAUCGGUCAACGUUUAAUUAUUCGACUUGAUCGGCACCUUAUGAGAAAUCAAAGCAUCUGGGUUCCGGGGGGAGUAUGGUCGCAAGGCUGAGACUUAAAGGAAUUGACGGAAGGGCACCACCAGCCGUGGAGCCUGUGGCUUAAUUUGACUCAACACGGGAAAACUUACCAGGUCCAGACAUAGUAAGGAUUGACAGAUUGAUAGCUCUUUCUUGAUUCUGUGGGUGGUGGUGCAUGGCCGUUCUUAGUUGGUGGAGUGAUUUGUCUGGUUAAUUCCGUUAACGAACGAGACCCCAGCCUGCUAAAUAGCGCGGCUGAGCUUUGCUCGGUGCGAGCUUCUUAGAGGGACUAUGAUGCGCGACAGCACAUGGAAGUUUGGGGCAAUAACAGGUCUGUAAUGCCCUUAGAUGUUCUGGGCCGCACACGGGCUACACUGGCGCCUGCAACGAGCAUAUCAGCUGGCCCGAGAGGGUCUUGGCUAAUCUUUUGAACCGGCGCCGUGCUUGGGAUUGACCUUUGCAAUUGUUGGUCAUGCAACGAGGAAUGCCUUGUAAACGCGAGUCAUCAGCUCGCAUUGAAUACGUCCCUGCCCUUUGUACACACCGCCCGUCGCUCCUACCGAUGAAUGUUCCGAUGAAAUUUUCGGAGAGCGCCAGAGAACGGGGCUCUGCCUUGCAGAUCUGGAGGCUCAAAGUCACUUAAAUCUGAACAUUUCGAGGAAGGAGAAGUCGUAACAAGGUAGCCG